UUGCUCGAACCGGCCCAACACGACGUCGGUUUCCAUGCCUCGUUGCCGUCAGGGAGAAGUCGAAGCCAUCAAGAGGGAGGAGGCCCUGCCGCUGCCGGCCUCACUGACGACGAUCCCCGUCCUCCUCCUCCUCCACGCGCGAUGAGCCUCCUGAGGUUCCUGAGGUGCCUCUGCACGGCGCGGCGGGCGCGCGCCCUCACGCCACGGAUGGCGAGCCUGAGCUUCUUCAGCCGGACGCCGACCCUUGCCUGCUUCACCCUCACCAGCGCCGGUGGCCUAGCUACUCCUAGACCUUACCGUACCGCCCUCGACGACGACGACGGCGUCGGAUCGUUGAGCACCUUGUGGAUCAGGAACUGCGCCCGGACGUGCCGCGCCUCCUCUGCGUCCUUCUUGUCCAGCCUGUCGUAG
This 411-nucleotide unclassified non-coding RNA is filed under the name Zea mays. RNAcentral describes it as "misc RNA Zm00001eb322700". Lineage: Eukaryota; Viridiplantae; Streptophyta; Magnoliopsida; Poales; Poaceae. The record is from RNAcentral.